GAUGAACGCUGGCGGCGUGCCUAAUACAUGCAAGUCGAGCGAACAGACGAGGAGCUUGCUCCUCUGACGUUAGCGGCGGACGGGUGAGUAACACGUGGAUAACCUACCUAUAAGACUGGGAUAACUUCGGGAAACCGGAGCUAAUACCGGAUAAUAUAUUGAACCGCAUGGUUCAAUAGUGAAAGACGGUUUUGCUGUCACUUAUAGAUGGAUCCGCGCCGCAUUAGCUAGUUGGUAAGGUAACGGCUUACCAAGGCAACGAUGCGUAGCCGACCUGAGAGGGUGAUCGGCCACACUGGAACUGAGACACGGUCCAGACUCCUACGGGAGGCAGCGGUAGGGAAUCUUCCGCGAUGGGGGAAAGCUUGACGGAGCAACGCGGCGUGAGUGAUGAAGGUCUUCGGAUCGUAAAACUCUGUUAUUAGGGAAGAACAAAUGUGUAAGUAACUAUGCACGUAUUGACGGUACCUAAUCAGAAAGCCACGGCUAACUACGUG
Molecule: ribosomal RNA, 497 nt
Filed under: uncultured bacterium
Lineage: Bacteria
Description: partial 16S ribosomal RNA
Rfam family: Bacterial small subunit ribosomal RNA
Source: RNAcentral